GACGAACGCUGGCGGCGUGCUUAACACAUGCAAGUCGAACGGAAAGGCCUCUUUCGUGGGGUACUCGAGUGGCGAACGGGUGAGUAACACAUGAGUAACCUGCCCUUUACUUUGGGAUAACUUCAGGAGACUGGGGCUAAUACCCGAUAGAGGCUCCUGCUGCAUGUUGUGGGGGUUAGAGUUUCGGCGGUGGGGGAGAGGGUCGCGGCUUAUCUGCUUGUUUGUGGGGGAGUGGAUUACCAAGGCUUUGUCGGGUAGCCGGCCUGGGAGGGUGACCGGCCACAUUGGGACUGGGAUAAGGCCCAGACUCCCAAGGGAGGCAGGCGUGGGGAAUAUUGCACAAUGGGUGGAAGCCUGAUGCAGCAAAGCCGUGUGCGGGAUGACGGCCUUCGGGUUGUAAACCGCUUUCGCUCAUGACGAAGCUUUGUGUGACGGUAGUGGGUAAAGAAGCACCGGCUAACUACGUG
RNAcentral lists this ribosomal RNA (467 nucleotides) under uncultured bacterium. RNAcentral's name for it is "partial 16S ribosomal RNA". It matches the Rfam family "Bacterial small subunit ribosomal RNA", at positions 28 to 507 of the family's 1533-position model. The record is from RNAcentral.